Molecule: ribosomal RNA, 253 nt
Filed under: uncultured bacterium
Lineage: Bacteria
Description: partial 16S ribosomal RNA
Rfam family: Bacterial small subunit ribosomal RNA
Source: RNAcentral
AACGUAGGAGACAAACGUUAUCCGGAGUUACUGGGCGUAAAGGGCGUGUAGGUGGUUUCGUAAGUCUGGCGUGAAAUUUUUCGGCUUAACCGGGAAAGGUCGUCGGAUACUGCGGAACUAGAGGACGGUAGAGGCGUGUGGAAUUCCGGGUGUAGCGGUGAAAUGCGCAGAUAUUGGGAAGAACACCAGUGGCGAAGGCGGUUCUCUGGGACGGUACUGACGCUGAGACGCGAAAGCGUGGGGAGCGAACAGG